AUGUUCAGGCAGAGCCGCGCUCAGCCGCGAGGCUCGGCGCAGCCCUCGCCGAGUGUCAUUUCCUGCUCGAGACAUUCCCGAGGAGCAGCGCCGGGCGGCAGCCGGCCGACUACGCCGCAGCAGAGGAUGACGAACUUGCUGCUCGCGGCCGUCCUGGCGCUCCGUUUCGGCCUGGGAACUGCCGAGACAGAAGAAGAGAUAACGGAGUUUCUAUACGACUACGCGUCCCGCUUUGGCGACUACUUAUACGCGACCGUAGAAUAUUACUCCGAGAACACUACGUUAAUACCGACCAUGUACUCCUACGAGGAGGAAUACCAGGAGUCGGUGGGAUCUCCCCUGCAAGGCCACCUCCCUCUCGCCAUCCUCCUCACCCUCCUGGGCUUCGUGCUAUAACUCCCCGUUUUCCUCCUUAGACGYGGCGACCGGGAUGGGAAAACACCCCACUGCCACCCCGCGUCCUCCGAACGGAGCCGUCCCCUCCGGAUCCAGCACAAUCGCGACUUUAUACACAAAGUUUUCAAUAGCUUGACGGUGCUGCCCAGAGCCGAGCGCCUCGUGCACACGCCGCAGAGCUUUGUCCUGCCUAGGGCCCUUCCUAUUUCCGCUUAUUCUCUUGUAAAUAGGAACCGCUGCCAAUAAAAUUGCUAACAACUGACUACCGGUCUCA
This 670-nucleotide long non-coding RNA is filed under the name Dromaius novaehollandiae (emu). Its description in RNAcentral is "lncRNA (ENSDNVG00000006145.1)". The record is from RNAcentral. Lineage: Eukaryota; Metazoa; Chordata; Aves; Casuariiformes; Dromaiidae.